RNAcentral lists this ribosomal RNA (450 nucleotides) under uncultured bacterium. Its description in RNAcentral is "bacterial SSU rRNA". It matches the Rfam family "Bacterial small subunit ribosomal RNA", at positions 329 to 794 of the family's 1533-position model. The record is from RNAcentral.
UCCCAGACUCCUACGGGAGGCAGCAGUGGGGAAUAUUGGGCAAUGGGCGCAAGCCUGACCCAGCAACGCCGCGUGAAGGAAGAAGGCUUUCGGGUUGUAAACUUCUUUUAAGAGGGAAGAGUAGAAGACGGUACCUCUUGAAUAAGCCACGGCUAACUACGUGCCAGCAGCCGCGGUAAUACGUAGGUGGCAAGCGUUGUCCGGAUUUACUGGGUGUAAAGGGCGUGUAGCCGGGCUUACAAGUCAGAUGUGAAAUCCGGGGGCUCAACCCCCGAACUGCAUUUGAAACUGUAGGUCUUGAGUAUCGGAGAGGCAGGCGGAAUUCCUAGUGUAGCGGUGAAAUGCGUAGAUAUUAGGAGGAACACCAGUGGCGAAGGCGGCCUGCUGGACGGCAACUGACGGUGAGGCGCGAAAGCGUGGGGAGCAAACAGGAUUAGAUACCCCAGUACC